Peromyscus leucopus (white-footed mouse) is the source of this 5997-nucleotide long non-coding RNA. RefSeq lists it as uncharacterized. The transcript has 13 exons. The record is from RefSeq and is a predicted model, not a curated record. NCBI's taxonomy places the organism in Eukaryota, Metazoa, Chordata, Mammalia, Rodentia, Cricetidae.
CCAAGUGAGCUCCAGGAAAGGCGCAAAGCUACGCAGAGAAACCCUGUCUCGGAAAAAAAAAAAAAAGAAUGAAGAGCGAUUAGCCUGCCCCUGGAUUAGUAAUCAUAACUGCUGGUAUAUGAGGCCCAGAUGAUGAAUGACAUGUGUCUGAAACUCCAAGGUCCAACAUAAAUGAUGAAUGCAGAAGCAAGGGUCUGUGGAAGAGAGAGUCGUUUUUUAUCCCUUGUUCUGUUCUCUUUUCCCCAGAAUUGCUUCUCCUGGGGAGAUUUCUGCGUAUUCCAGAGUUACCCAGUCAUUAGUCAUAUCUCUAGGUUAGAUCUUGGGACAAGUGUAAGUAGGAGACAAGACAAGUGAUUUAGUGAUUCAACCAAUAAACAAAGUAGAAGUGAUAGAGAAAAACAGGUCCAAUCCUGGAUUCAUGAUGAUCAUGGGUGGCAUAUGAGCCCUUGUCAAUGAAUAUGUGUCUGUAACACUGAGGUCAUAUCUGAAGAGACAUAUAUUUUCCAUUCCAUGUUCAUAUACUCAUGCUAUUAUUGUAAUUGGGCCAGUGAACAACUCAAGGAUAUAUAUAUUAGGAUAUAUAAUCUAUCAAGAUAAAGCUAAGAUGAUGGGUGAAGCAUCAUCCAAUUGUAAAAUACAUGAUUAUAUAAGAAUGUAGUAAUGUACACUGGACACACUGACCUGGUAGGAGAAGUACAUGGGUCCUCACUGUGAGCUUUUGUUUAAGAGUCAUGUACUCAGUUCAACUGUAGACCACAACUAUGUUCUGAGGGAAGGUCACAUUUGUUCGUUUUCUGAAGAAUGGAAUUAAUUUUCUAAUAAUGAUUGAUAAAUGAAUGACCAUGUGAAGGAUGAUACAGACUGAUUCACUAUCUCAGCUGUGUUAUGUUUUACCCCAUGCCUCACAGAGAGGAUGCUCUUGGGAAGACUACGUGUGGAUGUUCUCCUGAAGAAUGGCAUAUUCUUCCAUGGUGAGUGGCUUGCGGCUUGCUUCUCUGUGCUAGAAUGUGGGACAAAUGUAACAGCCAAUGUUGUCUUUGUCAGGGUCUCUUUGAAAAAUGGCAUUUUAUUUAUUUUUUUUAACUAUUUUCUACCAUCAAAGGUGCCAACCUUGCCAAUUUUAAUAUCAAUUUGACAGAAGCAUGGUAGUAAUUUCUCCAUGCAUAUGAGGACAGUCAUGGUAUAAUUUACUUUUUCUAACAGAAAAAUUCAGAGGUGUGUAUUAUUCAUCCUUAUUGAUAUUAUUCUUAUGUUUUGUCAUUCAUGUAUAUUUCUUCAUGACCUAUUCUGUAUUACUGUCAGGUGAUGGUCAGUCAAAACCAAGGUUGACAACUGUUGCAUGUGAGCCAUUUGCAAUCAAUACUCAUUAGUAUUAAAUAUUAAAAUAUACAAUAUUAAAUAUAUUAAAAUAUACAAUAAGGAAAAUGAAUAUUCAUAUAAAUUGAAAUAAACAAUAAGUUAACCCAUUGUUUCAUCCACUUUGAAUAACCCAAGCAACAGUUGAUCAUUGCUCUUGACCUAUGACAAGAUUGAAGUAUAUACUGUGAAGUGAACUAUAAAUAAAUAUCACAAAAAACUAAAUGACAUAGUAGUGAUAUCAGGGAAAGGCUGGAUGUAUGGACCAGGGGAAUGGAUGUCUCACUAAUUGCCUUAUGGUCUUACAUGAGUUCUGCUUUGAUGGAGACUUGGCAGCACAGACCUGAGAAAAAUAACUGCAGAGUUCUCCUUCUCCUUUAGGUGCUGGAUUGAAAUGUGAAGUUUGUUAAACUUUAUGUAUCUUAUUAAGAGAUACGAUGUGGAAUAUGAUUACUUUUCAGUCUUGAGCCUCACACAAGUCACUUACCAAAGAGUCACAGAUUCAAAUGAAAAAUGAUUGGACAGAAAAUGAUAAAGUCUUAAGGGCUUGUGUUUUUAUGUUUUUGUGAUCCAGGUUUUUCUAUUUUUUAUGUGUAAUUAGCAUUGCAAGGCCAAUAUUCAUAUUGAGGGGUCACAGGGUCACCCUUUGGUUUGUUCUACCUCACUCAAUAUGACAGGUAAGAUGUGCCAUGACUUUAAUGCCCAACACAAAACAAUCUGAUUUUCCUGUAAUAAUCACCCAAUAGUCACACUUUGAAGUGCUGAUAUUUUCCUUAGGUUCAAUAUAAUUAGAUUUAGGGUGGGUUUUUUUUUGUUUGUUUGUUUGUUUUACCAUAAGUGAAGAAUUGUUCAAUUACAAAAAUAACUAAUGAGAUUGUCAACACUGUACUAGAUUAUGAGUAGACUGGUGAUUAUAGUUCCAAUCGACCUAUAGUAUCAUAUGUAGAGAGGUGAUAAGCACACACAUAAGUCAAUCACCUUGAUUUGAUCAAAUUCAUGCAGCAAAUAACAAACUAAUCUACAAUAAUGUCUGUGUUUCUUACAUGUUGGCCACAAAUUCUAAGAAAAGCAUUGGACAAAACAAAACAAUUUUCUGCACUGAUGUUAUUAUUAUGUACCAUAUGCAUGUGUUUAAUUUGCAUUCUACAACCUAUAAAUUGACGGUUAAAUAGUAAUUAAUACAAAACUCAAAAUUUUUAUGUUUAUCUAGUAUAAAACAGUCAGAUAAAUAGAAAUAAGUAAAGGGGACUGAUAAAUGACAAAUGUCAGCACCUGAGUGUUGGAUGAUAGGACCAGAUAUCUGGAACUUGGAAUUCCAACCCAAAGAUAAGUGGAUAAUCAAAGUUAGGAAAAGUUCUGUCAUAUUUCAGCCUCUGCUGUGUGUUGCACUCACUAGAAUGAGCAUUCCUAAGGGGAUCAUGCCAUCUUCCGUGCUCACCAGCUGACUGGUUGCCUAACUGUGUUAGAACUUAGAGCCUAAGUGAGUGCUAGGUGAUAGUAUUGGCAUGAUUUAGGAGGUGUGCCAAAAGUUAGUCCCUUCAUUAUCUAACAGUGAGAAGGGAGGAGCAGUGAGAUGGCUCAAACGAAAGCCUGAUGACCUUAGCUGGAUAUUUAGAACCCUAAAGUUCUCUAUUACUUCCUCAGCUCUAUUCUUCAACACAGAUGAAUAAGUGUAUAUAAAUUAAUGUGCAAUAUUAUUUCAUUAGCUCAAAAGUGGUCGAUGAAAUAAAGUAUCAUGACUUAGAACAUUGAAUUGGACAUGCCUGUACAAAACCAAGGCUUAUCAAUGAACGGGAAUUGAUGUGAGCUUCCAGCUUCUCUCAGUGUUCAGGGAGAAUAAUAGAGAUUUCCAUUGUUACUAGUAAAUAAAUGAUUAAAUAAACAGUCAAUAUUAAAGUGAAUAAAUGAUUGAUGAACAGAAUCAGUAUAAGUCCAGAGAGAUACUCAUGUGUCAGUCUCCGGGGUCCAUCUGGCAGAUGUGCACUUCAUGUUCACAUAUUUCAUGUUUUAAUUUAAUUCCUCCAAUAUCACUCCAAAAACAAAAAUAGAGAAGUAUAAAGAAAAAGGGAAAAGAGGGAAUAUUCCUCCAGUUAUAAAAAUGAGGACUAAGGUAAAAAAUCCCUGUGGUACACCAACAUACUAUUUCCAAAAAGAAGCAGGGAUCAUGUUGAUCAUAAGUUGUAUAAAGAUGGGAUAGAGGAAAUUACAGAUAAUGUCUAUCUUCUCAUUUAGUUUCAACUAGGUCAUUUUGUAAAAGAUAAUAUGAAUAAUUUCUAAAUUACGAUGUAACACCAAAAUAGUUCAAUGUAAGAAAACAUCAAAGCAAAAUGAAGGGGUGCAUUAAUGUGGUCUACACACCCCAAGUAAUGCUUUCAAGUGGACUGACAGAUUUCUCCAAUACAACAGACUAGAGCAGCAGUGCUGUGUAGAGCUGAGGGAAGACAUGAGUAGCAGGGUGAUGCUGUUGGAGGCUGCUAUCUGCAUAAGUGCCAUGAAAUUAGAGAUUUCUAAGAAACCCACUGUUAACAUAAUACUGGGAGAAGUAAUGUGUGCUGACUGUAAAAGGCAAACUGUCUACAAUAUUGAAGAGAUUGUGCCUCUGAUUCAUUAAAUCUGUACAGUUUGGAGGGUAAUUAACACAAUUUUAAUAUAUUCAUGAUAUAUGAGUUCAUCAUAUAAAUAAUCAAGGAUUCAAUAUAGAUGUUAGAAAACAGGCUCACUCUGAAAGGAAUGAUACAUUAUGAGAGCAUUCGAUUGAUGAUGGAUGAAUUAAAGAAUAAUAGAAAUUAAAGGCCAGGAUAUAUGGCAGCCUCUUGUGCAAAGUGAGAGAUGCUAGUCUAACCAAAAAAGGCCAGCAGUUGUACUAAAAUGAUAUCACAAAAGGACAUAACGAUGGCAGAAAGGAGAGAGAAGAGGAAUUCCAUGAGAAUUGAGGGUAUGGAAAGAGUAAACGAUAAAAAAUACAGGGUAGUAAAGAAAAUUAUUGACCGUAAAUCUGUCUGAAUCUCUAAAAUUUAUUAACUCUGAAGAAGAAGGCAAAAAAAAAAAAAAAGAACAGCAAAAGAAAAACGAACAGGCAAAAACUUAAAAUACCAAAGGUAACAGCAAUUAAAGAAGGAAGUCUCAAAAUUAACAAGAGAUUCUCUGAAUUCAACAAUACAGAGAUAUUGAAAAGACACUGAAGAUAGACACUGAUGAAGAAUUCAAGAAAAGAAAGAUUGCUCCAUAGAACCUGGUGGCAGACAGCAACAGCUAUGAUCCUCCUAUGGACACCUGUGGACAGAAUGACCCACAAGACUCAUGACUACAGCUUUCAGACUUCGAGACAAAUCCCGAACCCCCACAUCUGCCCCCCACACACACAAACUCAGCAAGCCCUGGGGGCACCGAGAGAUCAGAGCCGUGUAGACUGAGAGCCAACCAUCUGACCUUCUUCUGGAACCAGAUGAUAGAGAGGAGACCAGACUGAUGAUGGCACAUGUUUGCUGAGGUGGAGAGUGCCGGGGCUGCCCUGAUUUCCGUGCAGAGCUCCUGGUGGCAGACAGCUACAGUGUUGGUCCUCCUGUGGGCACCUGUGGACAGGUCCAUAGUACUGAUAUACUAGCAUGCUCUCCUGGAAACGCAAGCACACAGUCACACAGAAACACACACACACACACACACACACACACACACACACACACACACACACACGCACUGUCUGCUUUUCCUGUGCUCACUGUGAUUUCUCAGAGCUCUGUGGACUAAGAGUCAACUGUCUCAUUCUCCUCAGAGAUCAGAUAAUAGUGGACGUGUAUAAGCCGGCAGUGAAUUCCCCGUUUAUAAACUGUAUCCAGAAUGGGUGCUCCUGGGGUGAUUCCUGCAUUCUCGCGGUCACCAGUGCAACAUUUGUGUCUCUGCAUUGAACUUUGGACAACGAUGGACCAUGUCAUUAGAGGAUCGCCCAAAGGUCAAGGGCUCCAUUUGCAUCCUGCUGAGGAAGAAAACAAGACCAGUAAUGAAUUCUUCCAAGGUGAUCUGUUCAUCUUCAAUGCCUGCCAGCCCAUCAGUGGCUCGGGAUGAUGUGAGAUUUGGCCAACGUUCUUGUCAUCAUUUUGAUGGAAGACCUUUGCUGACUUGGGGAUGCCUCCACAGCUAGGAGCUGUGCUGACAUCAUGGGUAGAGCUGGACAGACCACUGUGAAGACUGGUCAGGAUCCUUUCUUCAGAGUGAAGGAACUGUGUGACAUGAUGGGAGUAUCUGCCAUGGUCAAGCGCUCUGCAGUUUCCCAAGAAGAAGUGCAUGUUGGAUGACACUACCUCAGCUGAUCUGUUCCUAAUCAUGAAGCUCUCAGCCCUUGCCCUCCGGGGAGAGAGAAUAUUAUGAAAUUAGAAUGGAUGCACAUGGAAUCCUUUCCUCAACACUUCAGGACAGAGGUCCCGACAUUGACAUUGUGGCCAAGGGCAGCAUAGAUAUGGCCUAGAAGACUGGAGAGAUCAACCAAGUUCUAAGAGGGAUAGCAGAUGAGGCAAGCCUGUCGAGAAAAGGCACAACAUGCCCUUCUACCAGAGAACAGACGAUUUAAAAAGUACGUUGGCAGCACUUUUAUUCUAUAUGGGGCACUUGCCUAAGGUCCAGCAUCCAUGGUUCCUUCCUUCUCUC